Molecule: long non-coding RNA, 673 nt
Filed under: Mus musculus (house mouse)
Lineage: Eukaryota; Metazoa; Chordata; Mammalia; Rodentia; Muridae
Description: RIKEN cDNA 9030622O22 gene
Source: RNAcentral
GGAGCAGUCCGCCGCCUCCCUCCGAGCGCAGGACGCUCCGACGCCCGCUUGCCCGCAGGCCACCGCAGGUACAACAUGAUGGCAAGGUAUGAACCAACACAGAUGGGUUCAGUUUCCAAGUGUGAUGAUGGAGAUGGAAACGGGCAAGAGGAGCUGCAGGGAAGGUGUGGAGAAGCACGCAUGUACAGGACUGGUGAUCCCCGCGGGCGUGGCACCUGUAAACAAGACUAGAAACAGGAUAAAUGAGGACGAAGAAGUCACAUGGGAAAGACAGCUUCUACCAUCAAGUCAGUGAGGUGUCCCUCCAAUCGCCCAGCCAUAGAAGAGUGACUUCUCUCCAAAGUGGAUCACAGUUGUGGAUACAUUUGGAACUUCCUGCAGCUGAAGGAACAGAGUGGCAAGGACAGCAGCUGGGGGUGGGGUGGGGCUCUGCCAGCAGGCAGGCAGGUGUCUCUUGUAGAUCCACUUAGCAGUUCAUUACCAAGCUCCAUCUGCCUGGGUAACCAUUACUCAUGCCAACGAGUGUCUGAGGCUGUGGUGCCACUCCAUCUGGGGGACUCUUUGGUGAGAGGCACUUCCUCUGGGCCAUGCCUGGGACACUGUCACCUGGGGAAAGGAUGGCCUCUCUUCUCUACAACACAGAACAAUUGCAGCACAGGUUUUCAUUUCCAGA